UACAGAGGGGGCAAGCGUUAUUCGGAAUUAUUGGGCGUAAAGGGCGCGUAGGCGGCUUUGCAAGUGACGGGUGAAAUCCCUCGGCUUAACUGAGGAAGUGCACCCGAAACUGGCAGGCUAGAGUACUAAAGAGGGUCGCGGAAUUCCCGGUGUAGAGGUGAAAUUCGUAGAUAUCGGGAGGAACACCGGUGGCGAAGGCGGCGACCUGGGUAGAUACUGACGCUGAGGUGCGAAAGCGUGGGGAGCAAACAGG
Molecule: ribosomal RNA, 253 nt
Filed under: uncultured bacterium
Lineage: Bacteria
Description: partial 16S ribosomal RNA
Rfam family: Bacterial small subunit ribosomal RNA
Source: RNAcentral